This 361-nucleotide long non-coding RNA is filed under the name Helianthus annuus (common sunflower). RNAcentral's name for it is "hypothetical non coding rna". Lineage: Eukaryota; Viridiplantae; Streptophyta; Magnoliopsida; Asterales; Asteraceae. The record is from RNAcentral.
GAAUUCAAUUUCUCUCUCAAUUUCUGUAGUGUAGGCCCUAUACCCGGGCAUUAUACCCCCCUUAAUUAGCGAAGCUCUGCCUCGUUGUAAGUAUCAUAACCCCUGGAUACGUAUUAGAUACUCUGCCCGAUUGAUUUAGGGUUCCGAAACGGCUGUCGUGGUUCUGCCCGACGUAGUCGUUGGAAUGCCGUCUCGGGGAAGGCAUUACUAAUGUUAAAAUGGGUUAUUAUACUAACACGUGUAACUUAGUGUGAAGCCAAUAAAAGCCAGCUGGAGAGCACUGAAGGCUUGGAAAAGUGGCAAUAAAGUUAACUAAAAUAAAAUAGAUGUUUUUAUUAAAUAAAAUAGGAUUUAUUCCUAU